Malus domestica (apple) is the source of this 1700-nucleotide long non-coding RNA. RefSeq lists it as uncharacterized. The record is from RefSeq and is a predicted model, not a curated record. NCBI's taxonomy places the organism in Eukaryota, Viridiplantae, Streptophyta, Magnoliopsida, Rosales, Rosaceae.
UCUCUCUCUCUCUCUCUCUCUCUCUCUCUCUCUCUCUCUCUCUCGAUUCUCAGUUUCUGCUAUAUUCCCAACUCUAGCCUUCUGUCUUCAAAACGCUGAUUUUUCUCGCCCUCCAACCUUCCAUCUUUCUCUCAGGAAUUAUCGACAACGGUGCAAUUAGAUCUGAUUCAAUUUUUUACCCAGAAAAGUUGGCGUUUCCUGGCUCAGAUCCUCACCCUGUUCUUCGUCACCCAAACCCGCAGCCCCAUCUUCGAUAUAUACCGACGGAAACACCACGAAUUGAGGCGCAACACCAAUACUGUAACAAUUACAAGAAAAAAGAUCCAAACCCGCAAAGGUUGUGUUUGUACUGGGACAACAUUUUCCACCUUCUGUUUGCACUGGGAUGACUGUGUUUUAAAAUUGUUGAGGGUUGGAUAUAAAAUGUUAAGGUGAGAUAAAAUCAAGAUGCCAACGGUGGAAGAAUGAUUUAGAACUGGGGGAGGAAAACAAAGGGAAGAUAGAAGAGUAUAAGAGAGGGAUAGGGUAGACCUCAUUUAGAGGUUUUUUUUUUAAUCGAUUCAAGACUUACAUGUAUCAUCAUCCUGUAUACUAAAACUCAGUUUUGAGUACUAUUGAUGACCAGUGGCUGGACCCAUUUGCCCCUCGCUUUCCUCUGUUUCCCUUGCUGUUUUCACAUUUGUACAGUUGAAUGGUUGUUUUGCCCCUCGCUUUUUUAUUAUAUUUUUUGUCUUUUAUGUUUUUCUGUGUUGGCACAAGGUUACACCAGUAUUAAACAACUACAAGUCCUCCAAAGGUUAGCUUAUUACCAUAUUUCAUCAAGUUUGAUAAAUAGAUCUUCAUUUUUUACUACAGUUAAAUACAUGGACAUGCCUCCACAAAUACAGAUUAGUUCUUGGUUUAAUACUUUGUGUUCAGUAAAGUUGACAUAGAAAAUCUUCCCAUUGUGCACUAAAAUCCUCCACACAUGAAAACAGAAAUUCUUACUCAAAAAACACAUAUUACAAUACUGCUGUAUCUGUUGUUUUUUUAUUAAAUUAACGCACUGUUUUCAAUUUUAUAUCCAACACAAAAGAAAAUGCUCUUACACAAUGUGGUUACUUACAUUUUUUAACUUAUCUACCACAUGUUAAUCUGAGUUAUAUAAACAGGAAAACAACAGUUCAAUAGAAAUAUGAUGCAUAUCAUUUAGUUAACAAUGGUGGCAGCUAAACAAUCAAACAGUUUGUUUCAAUUAGUUAGUACAUUUUAUAAAUUUCUCAAUCAGAACUGUUUCAGUGUAUUCAAUACAUUUUUUAAGCACCUUUCCAGUUAGUUGUCCAAACUAAUUAUUCCAGCUUAUUCACCGUAUAAUACCAACAAUUUAACGACCAAUGAUACUUCAUUUAACAUAGACUCCAUUUGGAAAAAGCAAAAUAAAUCUUUUUCUCUGCUGAAAAACCAACAGAUAUAAUGAUGUAGAUCAGUUAUAUCAACAAAUUACCAUAGUUCACCCUAAAUGCUGUACAAGUUUGGCUGCUCUUAUUUUUCCUCAUUAUUCCAUCGGUGAUUUGUAUUUUCUGUUAUUAACCAUUCUUGACUAAUAAGUCUUUUUCAAGACUAAUUGUGUUCGGCUUUUUUUUUUUUCAAUCUUUGUACUGUAUGGUUUUCUAUCAUAUAAUUACAGUUUAAUCUGAUUACAAGUUUAAAUAUACUUUUUC